UACGUAGGGUGCGAGCGUUAAUCGGAAUUACUGGGCGUAAAGCGUGCGCAGGCGGUUUUAUAAGCCAGAUGUGAAAGCCCCGGGCUCAACCUGGGAAUGGCAUUUGGGACUGUAAGGCUGGAGUAUGGCAGAGGGGACUAGAAUUCCUGGUGUAGCAGUGAAAUGCGUAGAUAUCAGGAGGAAUACCGAUGGUGAAGGCAGGUCCCUGGGCCAACACUGACGCUGAGUGAGCGAAAGCGUGGGGAGCGAACAGG
Molecule: ribosomal RNA, 254 nt
Filed under: uncultured bacterium
Lineage: Bacteria
Description: partial 16S ribosomal RNA
Rfam family: Bacterial small subunit ribosomal RNA
Source: RNAcentral